Molecule: ribosomal RNA, 196 nt
Filed under: uncultured bacterium
Lineage: Bacteria
Description: partial 16S ribosomal RNA
Rfam family: Bacterial small subunit ribosomal RNA
Source: RNAcentral
ACGCUCGACACCUACGGAGCAGCAGUGGGGAAUAUUGCACAAUGGGGGAAACCCUGAUGCAGCGACGCCGCGUGGAGGAAGAAGGUCUUCGGAUUGUAAACUCCUGUUGUUGGGGAAAAAGAGGAUGGUACCCAACAAGGAAGUGACGGCUAACUACGUGCCAGCAGCCGCGGUAAUCUGAGCGGGCUGGCAAGGC